This 328-nucleotide ribosomal RNA is filed under the name Trichomonas vaginalis G3. Lineage: Eukaryota; Parabasalia; Trichomonadida; Trichomonadidae. The record is from RNAcentral.
GAAGCGGCCACACCCGGCUGGCAACAUCCAGCUCCACUCCGAACCUGGAAAUUAAGCAGUCGCGGGCCACAUCAUACUGGGCUGGGCGACUUCCCGGGAACGUGCGGUGCUGCUUUUUUUCCUUUUUGCGCGGUGCAGGGCUAUUGCCCUGCACCAAUACUACACUCUACACCUAUGUUUGUCCCUGCUAAAACUCUUAUAUGUUGAGAUAUUUUAUAAUUUUAUAUUUUUAUUAAAAAAUGAAAAUUUUUCAUAAGCGAGGACUCCUCCGCUGGAGGAAAUUAGAGUGGUAAUGGUAGUGUGAAUAGUGUGUGACGAACAUCCUUUC